GCAAACUUGGUCAUUUAGAGGAAGUAAAAGUCGUAACAAGGUUUCCGUAGGUGAACCUGCGGAAGGAUCAUUAUUGAAUAGAAAAAUUGGUCAGGCUGUUGCUGAUCCUUCGGGAUAUGUGCACGCUUGCUGCCAACUUUCUCCUACCACCUGUGCACCUUUUGUAGAUGCUGGACAUUUGUCGUGUGUUCACGCACAUCGGUAUUGAGGACUCUGCUGUGGCUUUUUAGCUACGGCUGUCCUUGCAUGUCUGGCUCUAUGUCUUUUUUCAUAUACGCAUGUCACAGAAUGUAAUUGAUAGGCCUCGUUGCCUUUAAAAUUUAAUACAACUUUCAACAACGGAUCUCUUGGCUCUCGCAUCGAUGAAGAACGCAGC
RNAcentral lists this unclassified non-coding RNA (376 nucleotides) under uncultured fungus. RNAcentral's name for it is "partial contains small subunit ribosomal RNA, internal transcribed spacer 1, and 5.8S ribosomal RNA". The stretch from base 1 to 73 matches the Rfam family "Eukaryotic small subunit ribosomal RNA", at positions 1759 to 1831 of the family's 1831-position model. Lineage: Eukaryota; Fungi. The record is from RNAcentral.